GGGAACGAAACGGUAAAGGUGUGCUGUGUGGACGCCUGUUCACAUAUUCUAACCCUAGGUUGUCGAGCUGGAUUCGCGUUACAGUUUGUAGUUUUCAAAUCAGCUUUCUACAAACUGCGAGUUCAUUUAUUACGGAAUAGCCUCGCAAAAAGUUGGUUUACCUUUUGCCGUUUAAAGGAGAAUUCAACGUACGAAGCUGGAGCAUACAUGUUGACUUGGUCGUGUCCCACACAUUCUCUUUUGUGUAGGUACGGGCGACCUUGUCCGAUGUAUGCAAAUGGCGUGCAUGCGGCGUGCAUUGCCUCCUGAGCACGGAGCCUUCUGUCGACAACUGUCAAUCGCAUCGUCCGUGUGUAGACGUCUGCACAUUGGCAGUGCACAUUGAGUAGAAUGUUAACAUUGGCUAAGAUGUGUUCAAGUACACUGCAAUGUAUGCCGUCUGUGUAAAGUACAAGAUCAAAUUUACAAAGCCUGGUAGAAAUGUCUUGCCCAGAGACAACGGCAAGAGAUGGUCCAGUCUUUGUACAUAA
Molecule: non-coding RNA, 530 nt
Filed under: Arbacia punctulata (punctuate urchin)
Lineage: Eukaryota; Metazoa; Echinodermata; Echinoidea; Arbacioida; Arbaciidae
Source: RNAcentral